This 254-nucleotide ribosomal RNA is filed under the name uncultured bacterium. RNAcentral describes it as "partial 16S ribosomal RNA". It matches the Rfam family "Bacterial small subunit ribosomal RNA", at positions 524 to 776 of the family's 1533-position model. The record is from RNAcentral.
CACGUAGGGGGCAAGCGUUGUCCGGAUUUAUUGGGCGUAAAGAGCUCGUAGGUGGCUUAGUAAGUCGGGUGUGAAACCUCCAGGCUCAACCUGGAGACGCCACCCGAUACUGCUAUAGCUUGAGUCCGGUAGGGGAGCGUGGAAUUCCUGGUGUAGCGGUGAAAUGCGCAGAUAUCAGGAGGAACACCAGCGGCGAAGGCGGCGCUCUGGGCCGGUACUGACACUGAGGAGCGAAAGCGUGGGGAGCAAACAGG